Molecule: ribosomal RNA, 301 nt
Filed under: uncultured bacterium
Lineage: Bacteria
Description: partial 16S ribosomal RNA
Rfam family: Bacterial small subunit ribosomal RNA
Source: RNAcentral
CAGUCGCCGCGGGAAUACGAAGGGGGCUAGCGUUGCUCGGAAUUACUGGGCGUAAAGGGAGCGUAGGCGGACAUUUAAGUCAAGGGUGAAAUCCCAGAGCUCAACUCUGGAACUGCCUUUGAUACUGGGUGUCUUGAGUGUGAUAGAGGUAUGUGGAACUCCGAGUGUAGAGGUGAAAUUCGUAGAUAUUCGGAAGAACACCAGUGGCGAAGGCGACAUACUGGAUCAUUACUGACGCUGAGGCUCGAAAGCGUGGGGAGCAAACAGGAUUAGAUACCCCCGUAGUCCCUGUCUCUUAUAC